Janibacter indicus is the source of this 113-nucleotide regulatory RNA element. It matches the Rfam family "SAM (S-adenosyl methionine) riboswitch aptamer". Rfam says of the family: SAM-IV is a mRNA element that regulates gene expression via direct sensing of S-adenosylmethionine (SAM or AdoMet). SAM-IV riboswitches share conserved nucleotide positions with the previously described SAM-I riboswitches sequence analysis and molecular recognition experiments suggest that SAM-I and SAM-IV riboswitches share similar ligand binding sites, but have different scaffolds. The record is from Rfam. NCBI's taxonomy places the organism in Bacteria, Bacillati, Actinomycetota, Actinomycetes, Micrococcales, Intrasporangiaceae.
GGUCUUGAGCGCCAGCGCGAAGCCCCGGCUCGCUGGCCGGCAACCCUCCUCCGCGGUGGGGUGCCCCGGGAGACGACCUGGUCCGCGACGACCGUCGCGGUCAAGCGCGCACA